UGGGGAAUUUUGGACAAUGGGGGCAACCCUGAUCCAGCAAUGCCGCGUGUGUGAAGAAGGCCUUCGGGUUGUAAAGCACUUUUGUCCGGAAAGAAAACGCCGUGGUUAAUACCCGUGGCGGAUGACGGUACCGGAAGAAUAAGCACCGGCUAACUACGCGCCAGCAGCCGCGGUAAUACGUAGGGUGCAAGCGUUAAUCGGAAUUACUGGGCGUAAAGCGUGCGCAGGCGGUCCGCUAAGACAGAUGUGAAAUCCCCGGGCUUAACCUGGGAACUGCAUUUGUGACUGGCGGGCUAGAGUAUGGCAGAGGGGGGUAGAAUUCCACGUGUAGCAGUGAAAUGCGUAGAGAUGUGGAGGAAUACCGAUGGCGAAGGCAGCCCCCUGGGCCAAUACUGACGCUCAUGCACGAAAGCGUGGGGGAGCAAACAGGAUUAGAUACCCUGGUAGUCCACGCCCUAAACGAUGUCAACUAGUUGUCGGGUCUUCAUUGACUUGGUAACGUAGCUAACGCGUGAAGUUGACCGCCUGGGGAGUACGGUCGCAAGAUUAAAACU
Molecule: ribosomal RNA, 554 nt
Filed under: uncultured bacterium
Lineage: Bacteria
Description: partial 16S ribosomal RNA
Rfam family: Bacterial small subunit ribosomal RNA
Source: RNAcentral